UACGUAGGUCCCGAGCGUUGUCCGGAUUUAUUGGGCGUAAAGCGAGCGCAGGUGGUUUAUUAAGUCUGGUGUAAAAGGCAGUGGCUCAACCAUUGUAUGCAUUGGAAACUGUUCAACUUGAGUGCAGAAGGGGAGAGUGGAACUCCAUGUGUAGCGGUGGAAUGCGUAGAUAUAUGGAGGAACACCGGUGGCGAAAGCGGCUCUCUGGUCUGUAACUGACGCUGAGGCUCGAAAGCGUGGGUAGCGAACAGG
RNAcentral lists this ribosomal RNA (252 nucleotides) under uncultured bacterium. RNAcentral's name for it is "partial 16S ribosomal RNA". It matches the Rfam family "Bacterial small subunit ribosomal RNA", at positions 524 to 776 of the family's 1533-position model. The record is from RNAcentral.